ACACGACUACAUUAGAUACCCCUGUAGUCCUAGCCGUAAACGAUACUCGCUAGGUGUCGGCCACGGUGCGACCGUUGUCGGUGCCGUAGGGAAGCCGUGAAGCGAGCCACCUGGGAAGUACGGCCGCAAGGCUGAAAACUUUAAAGGAAUUGGCGGGGGAGCACAACAACGGGUGGAGCUUGCGGUUUAAUUGGAUUCAACGCCGGAAAUCUUACCGGGACCGACAGCAACAUGAAGGCCAAGCUGAAGACUUUGCCGGAUUAGCUG
RNAcentral lists this ribosomal RNA (267 nucleotides) under uncultured archaeon. RNAcentral describes it as "partial 16S ribosomal RNA". It matches the Rfam family "Archaeal small subunit ribosomal RNA", at positions 717 to 982 of the family's 1478-position model. The record is from RNAcentral.